Molecule: long non-coding RNA, 6113 nt
Organism: Egretta garzetta (little egret)
Lineage: Eukaryota; Metazoa; Chordata; Aves; Pelecaniformes; Ardeidae
Exons: 3
Source: RefSeq, a predicted model, not a curated record
UUCAUGAUGGUGUAGAAGUAUGUGAUCUCCGUAAGUCUUGCACUGCCUAAGUAGUGUUGACUAUGAGCAGCUGAUGUUUCUGUAGUGGAUGUGUGGUACUGCAAAUGUGAAGUAAACCCCCCUCUGUGUGUGCAGGUGGGUUAGACAAGAAUGAAGUUAAUUUCUGAGUUCUGCUGUUGUUGCAGUGAUCUGUAGUUGAUCUGUUUAGGAUCCAUGAAUAACUUGUCCUGCUUAUGCUCUCUAGCUUCAAUUUUUCCUGGGUUCUGUAAACAGUAUUUUUUUUUUUAAAGGCAGCUCCACAGCUAUAAUGCCAUAUCACUACAUCUUUUAAGUCAUAUUGUUGCAGUACAACUCUGUCUUAUCUGUCAUAAUUACAUUUUAGCUGAAUCCCAUAAAAAUGGGUUUUCAGUCACCAGCAUACUGCAAAACUGAAAACAUAUCCCUUCAAUCCUAAACGGUACUUUGAUCUGAAUGUUGCCCAAAUCCCUGGAAACAGGUAACUGAAAAAUGUAGCCUUUAAUUUAACAAGACUUGUUUAAUUAUAGUUAUGGAGCUGAUUAACCUUGUCCUUAGCAAAAGGCACUAAGUUGCUAGACAGAAUGAAGCUUACUGCUUUAGAGUGACAACUUUCUCCUUAAUGAAACCAUCAUUUCUGGCAGAUCACUUCAAAUCCAUUUCAGUUCCCCAGGACUUUCAAACAAUGCAUUUACCUCAUGGUGAAACUUUGCUAAGAGAAUGUUUGUUUUUCUUUCAUUCAUGACAUGCUGAUGAGAAUGAGCAUCCAGAUCGCAUCAUAAUGUGCAGUCCCAAUGGAAAAAACAUCUUUUCAGCAGUAUUAGAUUUUUUUUUUGCACCACUGAGAUGAAUGUAGUCAUCCUUUUCUGUAAAAAUAAAAACCUGAACUAACAGGUAUCUUGUAUGAUGGUUAAGAUGUGCAGAGAUCUGUGAAUCUCUAUGUUAUGACAAUAAGCACUUCUUUCCACUUUUAUUAUUUUUUUAUCUAGUUUUGUGGGUGAUGAGUUUACUUUUUAGCUUCAUUAUAAUAUAGGCCAGUAAAUAAGAGGAGUUUUUAUGAGUUUGAGAGGCAAGAAUACUGCCCUUUGACUUCCAGUCUCUGAUGGAAGGACUUCAAACAAACAUGGAGUCUGGGACAGUAUAGCUCUUUAUGACCAGUUGCUCGUGCUGACCAGUUGCCUGGUAAUGCCAUCUUCAUGUUAACUAUGGAUUGAAAUGUGCAUUUUGUUCACUCCUCCCGUGUUCAGUAUUUUCUUCUGCAGCGGAUGGUGGUGGCUUUGUUCAGGAAUGACAGUUGGGCAGCGCUGAGAAAGGAAAAUGCCAGCAGUGAGAACUGAACUGUUGGUUCUAAAAGCAACCAGUGCAGCUUGGGUCUGAGCUGCCAGGAGGCAACAGUCAUCUGUGUUGGAAGAAUUCUUCCCCACCCCAUUGCAAAGCCCUGCUGGAGGAUGAGCAAAGAUGCUGACCUUGAAGCAGCAGAAAUGAAAGUAUUCUCACUUCCACUGUACAAUAUAAUCAUUGUUUCUGGGGGUGCAGUGUUGAAGGCUGCAGUGAUGUGUCCAGUGGAAAGAUGACAGUACUUCUUGCUUCCUCUGGCCCAGAAUCCCUUUGGUCCAACAUAGUGCAUCAGGUACAGUUGACCAUUUCUGGGACACAUCUUGCCUCCUGUGUUGAAAUCUACUCCCAGGAUGGCUAGCUCUGUGUGGGGCCUUGUGUAAUGAGGAACCAACUAGUCCCUCAGUUCAAUGCUGCUACUCACUGCUGUGGCUUCUACCUUCUGUCUUGGUCCAUCGAUGUGAAAGAGUAUGCCAUGCAGCCUGAAUCUGUUCCAGUCUCAGUUAGAGUUUACAUGUGUUCUUCCUCCUUCCUCUCCUAAAGUUUACAGGGAAAAAACUUGAGUUGCCUGACCAGCUAAGGUGACCCAACAGCAGCUGGUUAUGUUAUCUUUCACCUUUGUCAGUAUGUGGAUUGGUUGAUGUGGGUGGUGUCGUGGCAUCUGCAGUAGGCUAAUGUAGAACUGUGAUAUGUUAGCCCUAUCCUGUCACCAGUAACCCUUACUCCAGUGAUGUGUGGCUGCUCUGUACUGCUUGUCUUCCAGAGUCCGAAGCAGCUGGUUCUAAAGCAACAGAAUCAUCUGACUGUAGCUAAUGUUCCCCUGUAUAUGACAGAAUGAGGCCUUCAGCUAAAAGUGAGAGAACCUUCCACUAGCCAGCUGUUUUACAGCCUGUGAACACAGAGCACAGACAUGUGAAUUGUGACCAUCCUGGCCUGAAGUUAUAGCAGUUGGAGAGAUUCACAGGAGUCCUCUUGAUCUGGCAUUAACAGCUAACUUUGGGUCAGGAUGUGACUGAUAACACUAGUCCUGACCAGACUGGAGUAAAUAGCAAGCUAUUAGUCAUGGGUAACACGGUAGCUGCAGUAUUGACUGGAAUUAGAACAUCUCUGGGUGCCAUGUGACAUAAAGCUGUAAGCAUUUCUAAUUCAAAUCCCAGCAGUUGGAACAGAUCUCCUCAAAUGUUCCAUUUUCAUAAUUACUGUUGUCCUGGCAUUUCACGUUCUACAAAGCUGACUUUCUCAAAAUGAGAGCAAAACUUCAUGCAGAAGAAGUCUCUGAGAGAGUUCCUUGUGGGGCUGUGUUAGGUCUGUGUCCCUGCAGCAUGCCUAAGGAUGCCCUAGGGGAACAGCCUAGAUAUUACAUGAGCCCUUUGAUUAGAGUUUAUUUCUUUAUAACACAGGUUUAGCAUGUAUGUGUGUAAGCAAAUCCCAACUGCAAACAUGAAGACUGCAUUUCUUCAGAGCUACACUGGCUCUUUUUCUUCCGUUGUUUUGAUCUGAGGCCUUGUGACAAAUGUCUAAAUUUUGCCCCAGUCAGAAGUGAUGACCUUGCUUUAAGUCAUCAUGUAGACAACAGAAUGCCUUGUAGUGGCUUAGCGAUGCAUUCUGUCCCCCAAAAGCACAUGAGGGACUCUUGCUGGUUAAGUUCCUCUGCUGGGCUCAGGGGACUUACCUGUGGAGCGGACUCUCCCCUGUGAGAAUGACCAAGACCAAAUGAAUCGCUCACUAGCAGGUGGCCAGACUAAUCAUUCUUCAAAGCACUUAAUGUACCAUAAUGUAUGUAUUUCUAAUGUACCUUGGUUCAGCUGUAUUUUAUAAAGUUGAUGUACUAAACUAUUUGAGAAUAACUGCCUUGACUACUUGGAAAAUCAAAAUGUAAUGUAUAUAGAUACAAAUAAAGUGACUAAAAUAUACUUGAGUCCAUUCCAUGAGGUGGAGCAGUUAGGUCUCAUAGCAUCCCAUUUUCUUGAUCAGAGGCGAAGCUGGGCAGCAAUUGCUCUGUUGGAGGCUGCCAGCCUUGCGUGUAGUGUAAGCAUGCCUGUCAUGUCUUUGUACCUUGCAGCUCGUCUCUUCUAAUGGAACAGGACCUCUGGGCAGCUCUCCAGGUCAGUGGCAGUAGAAUGUGCAAAUAACCUUUCAUGCACUUCUUGCACCUUCUUCCCAAGCUGCUUUUCAACACAUAGUGCUGUAUGAGACAGAGAUGCAGUUUUGUUCAGCAGAUGAUGGUGUUGCUGUGGCCUAAUUCUUCCAAGAGGUAUAACACAUUCCUCAGGAAAAAUCUCCAGGUAUUUCCAUAGUCUUCUCUUAAGUGGACUAGAUAAAGAAAAAAAUCCAAGGAGGUCUGAAAAUUAAUGGCUUAUCUUGAUUGCUUCAUAUUAACCUAUAAUAUAGUAAUCUCUUAAGACUAAAAAUGGGAAGGGGACUUGUUCGUUCCUAGAAUGUAAAACUCAAAAUGUAGAACUUCAGGAUUUUACCUGUAUUGUGCAUCAUCACCGCUUUUGCCAGGUGAGUCUGAGUUCUUUUAUCUGCUGCAGUAUGAAACUGCAUCAGAAUCUGUCCCACCAUGGGGGUGUGAGCAAGGCAAAAGGUGGGAGGCUCGGUUCCAGGCCUUACACUGCUGUAAGGUUGAGUGGAGGGACUUGAGGGGCUUCUGGCACAAAGCUGAAAAGCACAAAUGCAGGGUUAUCAGAACAGCAUUCUUCUAAUACUUACAAGUGGGACUGCCAACACCUAGUAAAGCACAAGUGUUUGUGCUCUAAGUGAAACUUCUUUUGGUCAGUACCAAAAUCACCAGUAUUAGAAAAUGAAACGGUAAUUGCAUGUCUUUUCCACUGAUGUAACUGAUGGUAUAAGAGACGUUGGUCAACUUCCCCACUACCACCUUGAUUUAGUCAAUACUACUUUCUGAAGAGAAAAGAGAAAAAAAAAAAAGGAAAAGUUGGGAUUCACCAUCUCAGUCUAUGCUGCAAUGUCUCAAAUUGAGUCCUGUGGCGUCCUAGUAUAAACAUACAGAAGCAACAAGGAGCACUUCAGAUUUAGUGUGGAGGUUUUAAGUCAGUGCAGGUACAGAGUAACUUUGCACAUUAACUGGGAGAAGCCAGGCCAUCCCUCAUGUCUCUGUUUCCAGGGCAGAGAACUGGAAGUCUGGCACACUAGAGAUUUGAGAUCUAGCUGUGCUAGCCACUGAUACUGGCCUAGAAUUGCCACUAAGGUACUAAAAUAAUAACAAAACAGGAAUCUAUGGUCUCCAAGCUCCUGCUGUGCAGCCAUAGUUUGUUGUGAGAUCUCUGUAAGGAACAAAAAGAACCAAAAAAAAAACCCCACUUCAUUUUUUGGUGAUAGGAGGUUUGUCUGUAUCUUUAAAUCUGUGCCUGGAGGCAGAUCCUGCUUCUCAAAAGAGGAAGGAUGACAGAAACAGGUAAGAAGAGCGGGCUGGGAGUUUGUUUGUUAAUCUGGCAGAGCAGCAGGGUCAGAAUGAGUCCCAACAUGUGCAUCCUGUUACAAUGCCUUGUUCUCCAGCCCCUUCCUGCCUCUUGGGGCAUGAAAGUCAAGUCAAGAAAUGUGUGAGGGCAGAAAGCAAUGCUUAGUUUGGAUGAUGAAAACCAAUGCUGAAAUAUCCUGGUUAUGAAUUACUAUCAUCCUACAUACUGAGUCUAAGCUUUGCAGAGCUCCAAGCAAGCUAGUUUCUUACACACUAUAAAGCCAGUGUUGAGUGUUUCAUUCACACAGCUUCUGCCAGUUACAGAGGCUGUGGCUCAGUUUAAUUCCCGCAAUAGCUUGCAAUAAUACAUGAAAGCAGAGUUGUUAGCAGCCAGGCAACUCCUUAUUCCCUCUGCAUUUGUUCCCUAGGUGAGAUCUUUUCCCACUGGUCUGUCAUUUGUGGGUCUGCUUUCAUUGUACCUCCUAUUCUGUGAUUAUAGGUGGCUUCUCUGUUGGGGGCCUUGCUUGUAGAUCUCUGCAGGUAAACUUGUGGUGUCAGAAUUAGCUGACAUAAGAUCUCUGGUCCUAAUCUGAAGGCUCUUUAUAAGCUCAGUCUGAAGGCUACCUAAGUAGUCCUUAGUCCUUCCAGCCUUAGCAAGCUGUCUGCUGACUCAUUGCAGUUGUUUACAACUAUAUUGAGUAAACAAGUUCUGGAAAGAGGAGAAAUGUGCUAGGUAUGCAGGAGCUGUGGUGGGAGAAGUCCUGAGUAGAAAGAGUAGAGCUUUGGUAGUGAAAGGUCCAUUGCAGUCAGUACUCUCAGGAUGACAGAACUGGCUGUAUGUGUAAAUAUGCAAGAUGAGUUGUAAAAUCUCAUUGCCGUUCUGAAGGAGAGAUGUCUAGGCUUAGUAAUUAUAGCCUCACCUUUGAAAUGCUAAAGAUGACUUGAGUGGGGAAAACAGCAAGCAUGUAAAAAAUCAAGUGUGUCAGUAGAAGAAUGUGAGGGAAGGGUAUAAAAGCUGACUUAUGCCAAUUGUCAUAUUGGAAGGUUAUUCUUACAGAAGAAUGUGUUUUGGCUGCCAGAAACAGAAGAAUCCUGCCUUCAGCUCUGAGGAUUUUGUGGUGCUUCAUCUAUGAAGGUGACAAAGAGAAGAUGGGAGAAAGAGGCACAAAACAACACUGUUGAAGUUAAAAAGAAAAACAAGAACCCCCUAAAACAGAUAGAAUUCAAGAAGAAUGCAGGGAGGAAGACAAUGGCUCUGCCUGACAAGGUCCACACCAUGGAGCAAAGAAGUCAACCAUCCAGAUUUCCUCUCGUUUUCUUCUCUGAACUAAUUCAACGAACG